RNAcentral lists this ribosomal RNA (251 nucleotides) under uncultured prokaryote. Its description in RNAcentral is "partial 16S ribosomal RNA". It matches the Rfam family "Bacterial small subunit ribosomal RNA", at positions 524 to 774 of the family's 1533-position model. The record is from RNAcentral.
UACGGAGGAUGCAAGCGUUAUCCGGAUUUAUUGGGUUUAAAGGGUGCGCAGGUUGUUUGAUAAGUCAGUGGUGAAAGUCUGUCGCUUAACGGUAGGAUUGCCAUUGAUACUGCUGGACUUGAAUAUGGAUGAGGUAGGCGGAAUGUGUAGUGUAGCGGUGAAAUGCAUAGAUAUUACACAGAACACCGAUUGCGAAGGCAGCUUACUAAUCCAUCAUUGACGCUGAGGCACGAAAGCGUGGGGAUCAAACA